AAGCGAUUAAGCGAAAUUAUGCCUGAUUUUGACGUUUGUUAGCUACUUUUUGCACAUCGAAACUCAGAAUAUAUAAAAUAAUUAAUAUUUCUCGAGGAACGACCAAUCGCGUGAUUCACGAGAACUAAUUAUUCAUGUAUUAUCGAGGAACCUUUGACCUGCUUACAUGCUUAUCCUCAAUACUCUGUCCAUUCUCCUGCAAGUUGCGUUCAUAGUGUUUAUGUCCUUACUUUCUAUGAAUAUAAUCAAACAAUUCAGUGGUUUUGCUAGAAAAAUGACUGUGAUUGCUCCUGCGCUGUUCGUGAACCAUGGCGGGGGACCCUUGCCGCUAUUAGGAGACAAGGAUCACAAAGAGUUGACGAAUUUCCUGAGGGAUGGCGUUAAGAAACAUAUGGAUCUUAAAAAUAUCAAAGCUAUCAUUUUAGUGACCGCACAUUGGGAGGAGAGUAAAGUGACGAUAUCAUCCAGCGACCAUCACGACCUUCUAUUUGACUACUACGGUUUUCCGCCUGAAUCGUACAGGUACACUUACAAUGCGCCUGGGGACCCAGCAUUGGCUAAGAGAAUCCAAGAAGUUUUAAAAAGAGAAGGUGUAGAUUCUAAAUUGGACCCGAAAAGAGGUUGGGACCAUGGAGUUUUUGUACCUAUGAUGCUUAUAAACCCUUCAGCAAACAUACCUAUAGUGCAAGUGUCUGUGUUAAGUAGUCAAGAUGCCGCAGAACAUUAUAAAAUUGGCCAAGCAUUGCAUGCUUUCCGUAAAGAGGGCAUUGCUGUUAUCGGCUCAGGAAUGUCGUAUCAUAACAUGAGAGAGUUCAUGAUGGCUAGAAAAGGGAAAAUCGUUAACGAAGAGUUUGAUAACUUUCUGACCAGAGUGUGUGGUUUGGAAGAUAGCGAACGCAAAGCUGAGUUAUUGAAGUGGAGAGAGCAACCAGGUGCUACGGAGGCCCACCCUAUGAGAGCGGCUGAGCACUUUAUGCCGCUGGUGGUUAUUGCUGGGGCUGGAGGGCCGAAGCCUGGUGAACGUGUCUUCCACUGGGAUAUGAGUGGUACUUUUAGGUUAAGCGGAUUCAUUUGGAAACAAGAAUAAAUAACACAACAUCAUAUAUUAUAUACAUAUAAUAAUAAGAUCACAACUAUAUCCCAAACAGCAUGGUGAGUUUUGGGUGAGUAUGGUCACGAGCAUUAAUAUUUAUACACUUUGGUACCAUGUCACAUUAACUUUUUUGACAAAUUGAACU
RNAcentral lists this unclassified non-coding RNA (1238 nucleotides) under Pectinophora gossypiella (pink bollworm). Its description in RNAcentral is "uncharacterized LOC126378958". The record is from RNAcentral. Lineage: Eukaryota; Metazoa; Arthropoda; Insecta; Lepidoptera; Gelechiidae.